CAGGGAAGCCAAAAGACUGGACACCCCUAGACCUUCCUUAUAUCUCAGCAGAGGCCAUUUACCCUAUUCUACAUAAGAAGACAAUGGAACUACCACAGAAGAGCUCCAAAUUAUCUUUUGAAAACUGAGACAUGAAAGGUAAAAUUGGACAUAAAAAUAACAUAUAAUAGCCAUCAAUAAAAAUUUAGAUACAACUGUGAAGCAAAGUAGACUGUGUCAAAGUUAAAAACAUUAAAAUUAAAUAUCAGGAAAUGAUAUUCAGAGGACACAUAAUAUGAAUUUUAGAAUUAAAAACAAAAAUAUAAUCAUGACAUAGCUGGUCAGAAAAUAAAUAACAAACUGAAUAAAGGUAGGAAGAGAGGGUUAUAAAUAAAAGUCAGCAAGGCAAUAAAUUUAGAGUAAAGCCAUUUUGUCAUAUAAGAGUAAGUAGGAUUUUCACUAUCUCGUGAGAAUACAGUUUUCUUUAAAACAGAGGGAAAAAUUAAAAUUGAAUUGUAUGUGUUUUCAUGAUGCUUAAUAUCUAAAUAAGUUUUUUUGAAUGUUUUUAUACAUGGGGAUCAUGAUUAGAAUGGGAAAGCCCAAGUUUGGAGCUGCUAUGAGAUAUUGUAAUAAUUUAAAAUAGAGAAAGAACAAAUUGUUAGUUUAAUUCUCUAUUUGUAUUAACAACGUAGUAACAUCAAAUUUAUCUAGAAGUUAUACUAUAAAGUGCAGCUCUGGGUUAUGAAAUAAAACCAAGAUAAGACUGCAAAAACCAAGACAUGAAUGUAAUAAAAAAG
RNAcentral lists this long non-coding RNA (776 nucleotides) under Homo sapiens (human). RNAcentral describes it as "HSALNT0205180". The record is from RNAcentral. Lineage: Eukaryota; Metazoa; Chordata; Mammalia; Primates; Hominidae.